This 65-nucleotide transfer RNA is filed under the name Trichopria drosophilae. RNAcentral describes it as "tRNA-Gly". The record is from RNAcentral. Lineage: Eukaryota; Metazoa; Arthropoda; Insecta; Hymenoptera; Diapriidae.
AUUUAUAUAAUAUAAAUUAGUAUAUUUAUUUUCCAAAUAAAAAGUUUUAUUAAUAAAUAUAAAUA